UAAUAGAAUAUUCCUCAACUUAGAUUUGAUUAAUAUUUUCUCAUGGUUAGAUUCAGGUUAUGCAUCCCUGGCUGGAAUACUACAUAAAUGAUGGUUUGUUGAUUUGUUCUUUUUGGGGGUAUUGCAAGGGACCAAGUAAUGUAAGGCUUCAUAAAGAGUUUGGAGUUUGUUAAAUGUAAUGCGGAGUCAUUAGAGAGUCUUAAAAACUAAAGUAUAUUUUAGAAAUGUCACUCUGGCAGCUAUAGAAAGGCAAAGUGGGCAGACGCAGACCAGACAAGAGACUAUUUUGUAGUUCCGGUACAGUAAGGUAUUUGUAAGGUAACUUAGAGGUAAUAAAGUAAUAAGGUAACUUAGAUUUGGAUGACAGUAAUGAAGCUGAUGAGACAGAUUCAACAGUGCUUUAUAAAAUUAACUUAUAUUACUAUUAUGAGUAAUUUAUACUUUAUUCCAACUGCAUUAGCAUACAUUUGAAAAAGUAAUAGCAGCAAAAUAAUAAGACAUUAUUCCAUGUUAGGGGCAGUGCUUAUUGGGCACAUGGAUUUGCAGUUCCUUUUCAACAAUUUCUUAGUUCUCAGGAGAUUGCAUACCCUUAGUACGUUUAUCUCAAACUACAACAGAUGCUCUUAUCCAGUAUGUUGUACUGCUUAUGACUUCAACAAGCAGUUCAGUCAGGAAAUGUUCUGUGAACACCUGCUGCUAGACAUGGAUCUAUGCUCUGAUACAGUGGUGAAACAAGUGCAUUUACAAAUAAAUAACAAUAUAAUUUUAGCUAGCGAAGGAUAAAUGUAAAUCAGUGAAGCGUGGUAAGGAAUGGAGAGUAAGGGAGGAGGGAGGCACGUGAUUCUUAAGCAGUCCUUGAGCAGAAUGAUACUGAAUGAUGAAAGUGAAAUGUGAGAUGAUGAGAGGCAGUAGCAAAAAUAGAGGCAUCAAGAAAGGUACAAGCUUAGAGAAUCAGGACUAGCAAGAAGACAUAGUCUGCCUGGCUCAUGAGCUAAGGGCAGGACAUGAGGCAGUUUAAUGUGUUAGAGGCAUGAAUUUACUAUGAAAAGAUUCUAGAUUCUGCGGGUUAUUUUUCCCAUAGGUAAUGUAAUCUUUAUGUAGACUCCCAGUUGUUGUACUGUUUUAUUAAAUGUUAGGUAUAUACAACGUUCUGUGAGUAGAGCUUUGUGUUCUGAAAAAGGUAAACAGUCUUCCUUCAGUUAAAUUUAUUUAAUACCUUUUGCUCUACGUAUAUUCACAAAACUUUAGAUGUAGUCUUUUAAACAAUAAUAAAAAGUAAUUAUUUUGUUAACUUAAGAAUUUUAGUAAGGAAAAAAUUUUGAGGCUGAAACAUCUGAUAGUGGUAUAAUGAAAACUUUUUGUUCUUUUAAACAACUUAAAACACUGUUUUUGUUUGGCAGUCUCAAGUUAAGCUUUCUGUAAAAAGUUUACCAAGGUAAAAUUCUUUGAGUCUCAAUAUUCGAGACUAAAACAAAUUAAGCAGAAUAGAUGAAACUUAAGUUAGCAUAAAAGGUAAGCAGAUUGGCAAUUAUAUGUAAUAGAUAUAAAUAAAAGUAUUCCAUUCAGCAUUAAGUGCUGAUAGAAUACAGGUAAGGAGAAAACAGUAACUAUAAGGAAUCAAAGUGCUGACAUUUAAGGAGACAAAUGUAUGAAAAUUUUCCUGAAGGCAAGACAUGUUAGAAUUGUGAAAAUGCUUUGUUCUGUAAGGAAAAGGAUGUAUGAAAGUGGGGAGGAAAUCUUUUCUUAAUGUAAUAUUAUGUUAUGGGAGAUUUGUGUCCAUAACAAUUUGACAGGUUGAAGAUUAAUUCUAUGUGGAAGUGUUGAGUCUUCAAAGAUAGUAUGUAAGAAUUGGACACCACAGCCUGCGUUCAGCCUUUCAUCGAUCUCAGGAACUCUUCUUCAUUUUCUCCUACUUUCAGUUCUCUUCCUAGAUUUCUAACAUCCUGACUAACUCAAUUUUCAGCUGACUUUUUUCCAGCCUAAUUAAAUUUUGAUGUUUCUUACUGAUCAUUUUCAGAUGAACUCUGCCACAGCUUUCUAUUGAUUGCAGAACUACUUUAUGAUCUAGUUCUCUAGUUAUAACAAAACUAACUCAUGUAGUGAUUGUCUAUUUUCAGUCAUUUUUCCUUUUUUCCUCUUUACUAAUCUUUCUGAAAAUAAUAUUUCUGAAGUAUAUUAUGCUUAUGUAUGCAAUAUUACUACAUGGUAAAACAGUAAAUUUGAGAUUAUGUACUUUCUAAAAUAAACGGGCUAACUAGAUUUUUACUUAGUAUUUAAAUGUGAUGUAAUUUGGUAGCUUUUUAAAGAAUUAAGAUACAAUACACAUACUGUGGCACUCACUUUUAAGAAGUUGUUUUAUGUUCAUUUUAAUAUACACGUGCUACCUUACUACAAUUGACAGAUUUUUAGAAAAUCUUCAAGGAUUCAGGAAUUUGUGAGCUGCUGUGCGUUGUUGGCAUUUACAGAAAUUAUUAGAUAUUUAGUUUUAAAGGUUUAGAAAUCUGGGAACAUUAAGUGGACCUCUUGAGCUACUUUAGCUCUGUUAGUGAUGUAUACCUAGGAUAUUUGACAAUUAACACUAGAGUCAGUAGAUGCUAGAGAUUGUUUAUAAUCACCUUUUUGUGUUUUGAGAAUUAGUGUCAUUACCAUCGUGUUCUACUUCUGAAUGAAGUCAGGUGACUGCAGUCAUUGUCUGCAUUUACAUUGUGACAUCUUUUUUUUUUUUCUUUUUUUUGAGAUGGAGUCUCGCUCUGUCACCAGGCUGGAGUGCAGUGACUUGAUCUCGACUCACUGCAACCUCCACCUCCGCGGUUCAAGCGAUUCUUCUGCCUCAACCUCCCGAGUAGCUGGGACUACAGGCGCGUGCCACCAUGCCCAGCUAAUUGUUUUAUUUUUAGUAGAGACGGGGUUUCACCGUCUAGGCCAGGAUGGUCUUGAUCUCUUGACCUCGUGAUCCACCUACCGUGCCCUCCCAAAGUGCUGAGAUUACAGGCGUGAGCCACCGCACCCAGCCUAUGUGACAUACAUCUUAAAAAUAUUGUUUGGUAGGCUUUGAGUAUAGAAUAUACAUGCUUAUGAUCAUAAUAAUGUGUUUUUAGCAUUUCAGCAGGAACUUGAUGCAAGGCAUGACAAAUAUGAGAGACUUGUGAAACUUAGUCGGGAUGUAACUGUUGAAAGUAAAAGGACAAUUUUUCUCCUCCAUAGGAUUACAAGUGCUCCUGAUAUGGAAGAUAUAUUGACUGAAUCAGAAAUUAAAUUGGAUGGUGUCAGACAAAAGAUAUUCCAGGUAGCCCAAGAGCUAUCAGGGGAAGAUAUGCAUCAGUUCCAUCGAGCCAUUACUACAGGACUACAGGAAUAUGUGGAAGCUGUCUCUUUUCAACACUUCAUCAAAACACGAUCAUUAAUUAGUAUGGAUGAAAUUAAUAAACAAUUGAUAUUUACGACUGAAGACAAUGGGAAAGAAAAUAAAACUAUGAGGAAACUGAGGUUUAGAGAGAUGAAAUAACUUGCCCAAGGGCAUACACCUUAUGAAGCAAGGUCCUGGAAGAGGUGGGAGGAGAUGGGUCAAGGUCAUUUGGAAGAGUUAACCUCAAACAAGAGGAGGGACAACUCAUCAUCUGAGACUGGAGGAUAGAAGCCCUCCUCUGAUGCACAGGAUAAGCAGUUUGGUACUUGGAGACUGAGAGUCACACCUGUCGAUUACCUACUGGGAGUGGCUGACUUAACUGGAGAAUUGAUGCGGAUGUGUAUUAACAGUGUGGGGAAUGGGGACAUUGAUACCCCCUUUGAAGUGAGCCAGUUUUUACGUCAGGUUUAUGAUGGGUUUUCAUUCAUUGGCAACACUGGACCUUACGAGGUUUCUAAGAAGCUGUAUACCUUGAAACAAAGUUUGGCCAAAGUGGAGAAUGCUUGUUAUGCCUUGAAAGUCAGAGGGUCAGAAAUUCCAAAACAUAUGUUGGCAGAUGUGUUUUCAGUUAAAACAGAAAUGAUAGAUCAAGAAGAGGGCAUUUCUUAGAAUCUAACAUUACUCAGUUACUAAUUCUUUUGAGAACUCCUAAGAGACCAAUUUGUAAGACUUAUUUAGUAUUUCAUUUAACUUUAUUGUGGCUUUUACAUAGAAACAUAUUCAGUUGUACUUGUUUUAAAUUGUAUACAAGCUGUACAUAAAAUUAGCCAAAUGAAUCAUUUGUUAUAUCUUAUUCAUGAAAGUUUGCAUACAGAUGUUUGCAUAUAUGCCUUUUUGAAUUUUUGCUGGUUAACCUUUAUCAUUUAUCUUUGUAAUGUGAACAUGCUUCAGAGUGUACCUUUUGCCAUAACCUAUUUUAAUUUACUUUUUCUGAAGUUUGGAGUGAUAAUUUUUAGUGGAAGCAAUUUGUAAUUUAAGUUGGUGGUUUUAUUAUAUAUAGAAAAUAUUUUUUAGUUAAACUUCUGGACUUGAGCGUCCUGUUUAAAUUUCUUGUUAAUAUUGUGCCAAGCCUCAAAAAUAGGCUUAUUCCAUGGAACAAGAAUUAAAAAUGAAUAAGCUAUCAAUAUAUAAUUUAAGUACAAGUUUAGGCUGGGCGUGGUGGCUCACGCCUGUAAUCCCAGCACUUUGGGAGGCCGAGGUAGGCAGAUCACGAGGUCAAGAGAUCAAGACCAGCCUGACCAACGUGGUGAAACCUCUUCUCUACUAAAAAUACAAAAAUUAGCUGGAUGUGGUGGUAUGUGCCUGUAAUCGCAGCUACUUGGGAGGCUGAGGCAGGAGAAUCGCUUGAACCCGGGAGGCAGAGGUUGCAGUGAGCCAAGAUUGCGCCACUGCACUCCAGCCUGGGUAACAGAGCAAGACUCCAUCUCAAAAAAAAAAAAAAAAAAGAAAAAAGAAAGUACAAGUUUAUAAAGUAUUAUAGUGAAAAAUUCACAUUCUGGCUGAUUGUAGGCCAUUUAAAAUUUAUAUAAAACAACCUUCCAUAAAAAUUUGACAGGUGCCCAGAUGUUACUUUCUCCAUUUAUUAUUAUUAUUUUUUUAAUCACAGAAGGUCUGAUAGAGAAUUGGAGCUAAAUUAUAAUAUUUUUGUUGGUAAAGUUGAGUUAUGUACUUGUACAUACAAUGGAAAUGCUUUUAGUAGUGAUUAUUUAGCAAUUUUUGUUUUUGUUAUAUUAGGCAUGUUUGGAGGCUUUCCUAUUCUAGCAUUUAAAUUUAAAUUUUAUUAAAAUUAAAUAAUUUAAAUCUAGCAUUUAAAUUUAAAUAAUUUAAGUCUAGCAUUUACAUUUAAAUAAUUAUAAUGAAGUUUUGAAAUACUAAGUUAAUCCAGACCUUUAGUUGUCCCGUGGUGUUAAUAAAGUUGCCAAAGAAAAUGUAUUAUGAACAAUUCAGCAAUAAGACAAUUGUCAACACAGUUGAGAAUAACAAUGGUAAUCGUUAGUAAUAUUUAGAAUUGGAAUUUGCCUACUGAAAUAGUUAGAGAUGAUUACUUGUGAUGUGAAACUGAAUUGAGCAUGACAACCAGACAUUUCCAGUUGGUUUUGUAAGUUUUGAGAAUCUAGAUACUGGGUUUUAUUUUUUGAAAGAUUAGCUCUGUUUGUAAGGGCUGAUUCCUUGAAAAUGUAAUUUUCCAGAAAAACACCUAAAGAAAAUAAAACAUGGACAUGCCUAGUAAA
RNAcentral lists this small RNA (5637 nucleotides) under Pan troglodytes (chimpanzee). RNAcentral's name for it is "retained intron". The record is from RNAcentral. Lineage: Eukaryota; Metazoa; Chordata; Mammalia; Primates; Hominidae.